GAUGAACGCUGGCGGCGUGCCUAAUACAUGCAAGUCGAGCGAACAGAUAAGGAGCUUGCUCCUUUGACGUUAGCGGCGGACGGGUGAGUAACACGUGGGUAACCUACCUAUAAGACUGGAAUAACUCCGGGAAACCGGGGCUAAUGCCGGAUAACAUUUAGAACCGCAUGGUUCUAAAGUGAAAGAUGGUUUUGCUAUCACUUAUAGAUGGACCCGCGCCGUAUUAGCUAGUUGGUAAGGUAACGGCUUACCAAGGCAACGAUACGUAGCCGACCUGAGAGGGUGAUCGGCCACACUGGAACUGGGACACGGUCAAGACUCCUACGGGAGGCAGCAGUAGGGAAUCUUCCGCAAUGGGCGAAAGCCUGACGGAGCAACGCCGCGUGGGUGAUGAAGGUCUUCGGAUCGUAAAACUCUGUUAUUAGGGAAGAACAAAUGUGUAAGUAACUGUGCACGUCUUGACGGUACCUAAUCAGAAAGCCACGGCUAACUACGUG
Molecule: ribosomal RNA, 497 nt
Filed under: uncultured bacterium
Lineage: Bacteria
Description: partial 16S ribosomal RNA
Rfam family: Bacterial small subunit ribosomal RNA
Source: RNAcentral